GGGAAUAUUGGACAAUGGGCGCAAGCCUGAUCCAGCAAUGCCGCGUGUGUGAAGAAGGCCUUCGGGUUGUAAAGCACUUUUAUCAGGAACGAAAUACCACGGGUUAAUAACCUAUGGGGCUGACGGUACCUGAGGAAUAAGCACCGGCUAACUUCGUGCCAGCAGCCGCGGUAAUACGAAGGGUGCAAGCGUUAAUCGGAAUUACUGGGCGUAAAGGGUGCGUAGGCGGUUAGUUAAGUCUGUCGUGAAAUCCCCGGGCUCAACCUGGGAAUGGCGAUGGAUACUGGCUAGCUAGAGUGUGUCAGAGGAUGGUGGAAUUCCCGGUGUAGCGGUGAAAUGCGUAGAGAUCGGGAGGAACAUCAGUGGCGAAGGCGGCCAUCUGGGACAACACUGACGCUGAAGCACGAAAGCGUGGGGAGCAAACAGGAUUAGAUACCCUGGUAGUCCACGCCCUAAACGAUGCGAACUGGAUGUUGGUCUCAACUCGGAGAUCAGUGUCGAAGCUAACGCGUUAAGUUCGCCGCCUGGGAGACG
Molecule: ribosomal RNA, 534 nt
Filed under: uncultured bacterium
Lineage: Bacteria
Description: bacterial SSU rRNA
Rfam family: Bacterial small subunit ribosomal RNA
Source: RNAcentral